RNAcentral lists this small nuclear RNA (324 nucleotides) under Jaculus jaculus (lesser Egyptian jerboa). Its description in RNAcentral is "7SK RNA (ENSJJAG00000005691.1)". It matches the Rfam family "7SK RNA". Rfam says of the family: 7SK was discovered as an abundant small nuclear RNA in the mid-70s but a possible function has only recently been suggested. Two independent studies have found that 7SK RNA binds the CDK9/cyclin T complex (known as elongation factor P-TEFb). Lineage: Eukaryota; Metazoa; Chordata; Mammalia; Rodentia; Dipodidae. The record is from Rfam by way of RNAcentral.
GGAGAUGAGGGUGGUCUGGCUCAGACAUCAGCCACCUCCUAGCUCAGCACAGUUUUUUAUUCAGCUGAUGUCUGACAACAGGGGUGUCCCCGUCCUUUCCCCCCACUCCACGCAUGUCCCUCCUGAAGCUAUGAAGUCGCUUGUUUUGUCAAAGAGAAAGACCUUGCCCAAAUACAGGAGAACCAUUCCUGGGUCAAGGGCACGCAGGGAGCUGUGGUCUCCUGCUAGAUUCUCCAAAUCAACUCUCAAGUGAAUCAUUUUGCUCUUCCUAAGGCAUUAAAGCCCAUAGUGAUGUAAGCUGCAUGUGGUUUUAAGCAUUAUCUA